CGACCCCAUCUCAGGCGACAACACCCGCUAAAUUUAAGCAUAUAAUUAAGCGGAGGAAAAGAAACUUACAAGGAUUUCCCUAGUAACAACGAGCAAACCGGGAAUAGCCCAACAUGAAAAUAGGGUGGCAGUGUCACCUGAAUUAUACUCUGUAGAAGCUUCCUUAGUGGUGGACCGGGACCAAGUCUCCUGGAAGGGGACACCUGAGAGAGUGAUAGCCAUGUUGGGUCGGGACCCUGCCGCACCACGAGGCAUUGUCGACGUGUCGGGUUGUUUGGGAAUGCAGCCCUAAUCGGGUGGUAAAUUUCAUCCAAGCCUAAAUACAAGCGAGAGACCAAUAGCGAACAAGUAUCGUGAGGGAAAUAUGAAAAGGACUUUGAAAAGAGAGUUAAAGAGUGCUUGAAAUUGCCAAGAGGGAAGCGGAUGGAGGCCAACGAUGCAUCUCAGUCGGAAAUGGAACGACUUAAGUUGGUUCGUCGCUCGACUAGAGGUGCGAACCAGCACAGGCCAUUGCAUCAGCACAAGCAUGGGUGGAGUACUUCCUGUUGGUUUGUCAUUAUGGCGGUCAAGGAACGAAGUGUGUGCCCUUGGGGCCAGACACUAUGCACCUUCACUCUCGUGGUGUUAGUUGGCGGGCUUUCCAUUCAACCCAUCUUGAAACACGAACCAAGGAUUCUAACAUGUGUGUGAGUCAGUGGGUUUGUAAACCUGUGAGGCAUAAGGAAGCUGAUGGGCGAUAACCCCUCUCCACGGGGGGAAUUUUCAACCGACCUUGAGCUUGUGCGAAGGGUUCGAGUGCGAGCACACCUAUUGGAACCUGAAAGAUGGUGAACUAUGCCUGAGCAGGGUGAAGCUAGAGGAAACUCUGGUGCAGGCCAGUAGCAAUACUGAUGUGCAAAUCAUUCGUCUGACUUGGGUAUAGGGGUGAAAGACUAAUCAAACCAUCUAGUAGCUGGUUUCCUCCAAAGUUUCCCUCAGGAGAGUUGGAGCUCACGUGCGAGUUUUACCAAGUGGGCCAUUUUUGGUAAGAAGAAAUGGCGAUGGAGGAUGAACCAAAAGUCGAGUUACAGUGCCAAACUACGCACUAACCCAGAUCCCACAAAGGGUGUUGGUUGAUUAAGAUAGCAGGACGAUGGUCAUGAAAGUCGAAAUCUACUAAGGAGUGUGUAAAAACUCACCUACCGAAUCAACUAACCCCUAAAAUGGAUGGAAUUGAAGCACGUGACAUAUACUCGACCAUCAAAGCAAUUGUCAGGCUUCGAUGAGUAGGAGGACGUGGGAUUCAUUGAGAAACCUUGGGCGUGAUCCUGGGUGUACCGAUCCCCCAUGCAGAUCUUGGUGGUAGUAGAAAAUAUUCAAAUGAGAACUUUGAAGACUAAAGUGGGGAAAGGUUCCAUGUGAAAAACACUUGGACAUGGGUUAGUCGAUCCUAAGAUAUGGGUAAGCUCUAUAUCUAUGGUGCACUCUACACGAACAUCAAAAGGGAAUCAGGUUAAUAUUCCCAAACGGGAACAUGGUGGCAGACGAGAACGUUAGGAAAUCCGGAGACGUUGUCGGGGGCCCCAUGAAGAGUUAUCUUUUAUUUUUAACAGCUUGCCCACCCUGAAAUUGGCUCAACCAGAGAUAGGGUCUAGCAGCUGGAAGAGCAUCGCAAGUCUUGCAGUGUCCGGUGUGCCCUUGGAAUCCCUUGAAAAUAUGGAGGACCGAGUACCGUCCAUGUCUGGUCGUACUCAUAAUCGCAUCAGGUCUCCAAGGUGAAAAUCCUCUGGUCAAUAGAGAAAUGUAGGUAAGGGAAGUCGGAAAAAUAGAUCUGUAACUUUGGGAAAAGGAUUGGCUCUAAGGGUUGGGCCUAGGGGUCUGCAUCCUCAACCUAUGGGUUGUCGGAAGUCUGCCCUAGCUACUAUCGCGAUGAGGGUGGUCAGUCGCGUGUCGAUUGGGCUACAGACGUAGAAUGUCCCCUCGCGGGGGCUUUUCCCGAGGCGAUGAACAGUCGACUCAGAACUAGUACGGACAAGGGGAAUCUGACUGUUUAAUUAAAAAAAAGCAUUGCGAUGGUCCCUGCGGAUGCUCGCGCAAUGUCAUUUCUAUCUAGUGCUCUGAAUGCCAAAGUGAAGAAAUUCAACCAAGCACGGGUAAACGACGAGAAUAACUAUGACUCUCUUAAGGUAGCCAAAUGCCCUGUCAUAUAAUUAGUGAUGCACAUGAAUGGAUUAAUGAGAUUCCCACUAUCCUUAUCUACUAUCUAGAAAAACCACAACCAAGGGAAUGAGCUUGGUAGAAUCAGUGGGGAAAGAAGACCCUGUUGAUAUUGACUCUAGUCCGACUUUGUGAAAUGACUUGAGAGGUGUAGAAUAUGUGGGAGCCAUUUUUGAUGGAAGUGAAAUACCACUAUUUUUAACGUUAUUUUACUUAUUCUCUUGGGCAGAGACAUGGCAUUGGCCUUAAGACACAUUUCGAUUGGUUGAUCCAAGUGGAAGACAUUGUCAGGUGAGGAGUUUGGUUGGGGCAACACAUCUGUUAAAAGAUAACGUAGGUGUCCUAAGAUGAGCUCAAUGAGAACAUAAAUCUCAUGUGGAACAAAAGGGUAAAAGAUCAUUUGAUUUUGAUUUUCAGUACGAAUACAAAUCAUGAAAGCGUGGCCUAUCGAUCCUUUAGACUUUCGUAAUUUGAAGCUAGAGGUGUCAGAAAAGUUACCACAGGGAUAACUAGCUUGUGGCAGCCAAGCGUUCAUAGCGACGUUGCUUUUUUAUCCUUCAAUGUCGUCUCUUCCUAUCAUUGUGAAGCAUAAUUCACCAAGUGUUGGAUUGUUCACCCACCAAUAGGGAACGUGAGCUAGGUUUAGAUCGUCGUGAGACAUGUUAGUUUUAACCUAUUGAUGAACUGUGUCGCAAUAGUAAUUCAACUUAGUACGAGAGGAAUCAUUGAUUCACAUAAUUGAUCAUCGUGCUUGGUUGAAAAGCUAGUGGUGUGAAGCUACCGUGUGUCGGAUUAUGACUGAACUCCUUGAAUGUAUCUUGACCGACAGUAGGGGUGUUGCUUCAGCACCACUAAGGUCCUGUGUCACUUGCGAACCUCGGUCGAGAAGCUUCUUGAUCGAGGCAGCUUUGAAGUUCAAUUUCAAACAGUCGUUGAGAAUAAUCCUUUGCAGAUGACUUAAAUAUGUGACGGGGUAUUGUAAGUGGCAGAGUGGACUUGCUGCCACGAUCCACUGAGAUUCAACCCUUCUUCGCCUCGAUUCAG
Molecule: non-coding RNA, 3240 nt
Organism: Picea glauca (white spruce)
Lineage: Eukaryota; Viridiplantae; Streptophyta; Pinopsida; Pinales; Pinaceae
Source: Rfam